GGAGAGGUGGCCGAGCGGCUGAAGGCGAUCGCCUGCUAAGCGAUUAUGGGGCGCAAACUCCAUCCCGGGUUCGAAUCCCGGCCUCUCCGCCA
RNAcentral lists this transfer RNA (92 nucleotides) under candidate division WS1 bacterium. Its description in RNAcentral is "tRNA-Ser". It matches the Rfam family "tRNA". From Rfam's summary of the family: Transfer RNA (tRNA) molecules are approximately 80 nucleotides in length. Their secondary structure includes four short double-helical elements and three loops (D, anti-codon, and T loops). Lineage: Bacteria; Bacillati. The record is from RNAcentral.